Molecule: small RNA, 999 nt
Filed under: Pongo abelii (Sumatran orangutan)
Lineage: Eukaryota; Metazoa; Chordata; Mammalia; Primates; Hominidae
Description: processed transcript
Source: RNAcentral
CGGGGAGUGUGUGUUGCCAUCGCGUCUCCGCCUGCAGCUCGGCUUCGCCGUCCGCAUCAUCUCCAUCCAUUAUUGAAGAAACAGCCGCGUCCGCUCCAAUCACAUCAACACCCCCGCCCCCUCUCCGUUCCGCUCGCCCCGCGGCCCCUCUGGGUGCUGAGGAGAGGGGAAGCCAAGGCGCGGUGGGGGCGCCGGGUGGGAAUGGGCUUAUGACCCUUGCCCCAAGCCCGGCCAGGAGCCGGAACGCCGGGGUCCCCGGCGGAGAGCGCUUUGCAUGAACAGAUGGCGCGGGCGUCUUUGUCUCACUCGUUCGCUCACCGCACAGCUCCCGGCUCCGCUUCUGUCUGGCUGAUGCAAUCAUGAUCAUCUCGGUGCCUCGGGACCCGGCGCCCUUAAUAAUGGCAGAGGGGGUCAGGGGCCCCGGGGCUCCCGAGCAGAUGCUGGGCCCUGUGUCUUCCCUCCCGGGCGCCCCUCCAGGUCCCACAGCCUCAGCGGGAAGAUCAACGCUGCGCGGAGGUGACGGGCAUAUGGAGGUGACCAGGAGGAGGACCCCGGGCACUGAGGAGGAGGACCCCGGGCAGUGCCCCGAGGCGUCCCCGGGCUGCCUUGUUGGGCUGCUGCAGUCCCCAGAGGCAGCAACCCAGAGAAUAGGAAUAGAGCUGGGGAAUGGGGUUGGGGAGAGACAGAGAUAAAGACAGAGACAAAGAGAGGCAUUAGUAAAGAGAGACACAGUGAGAUGGAGAGAUGUGGAGGGAGGGAGCGAGACACAGAGAAACCGAUGCAGAGGGACAAAGCCAGGUAGGGAAGGCAGCAAGAGGGAGAGCAGACAGACACAGCCAGAAUAGGGAAGAGAGAGAUGGACAUACCCAGAGACAGGAAGCAGACAGAAGGCAGAAAGAACAAGAGGCAGAAAAAAGGGCAGCCAGAGGCUAGGACAGGCUGGGUCAAAGGGCUUAGGGCAAUCUCGAAUCUGCAGCCCAUAAGCAGAGAUGAAGCCCC